UACGAAGGGGGCUAGCGUUGCUCGGAAUCACUGGGCGUAAAGGGUGCGUAGGCGGGUCUUUAAGUCGGGGGUGAAAUCCUGGAGCUCAACUCCAGAACUGCCUCGAUACUGGAAGACUCGAGUCCGGGAGAGGUGAGUGGAACUGCGAGUGUAGAGGUGAAAUUCGUAGAUAUUCGCAAGAACACCAGUGGCGAAGGCGGCUCACUGGCCCGGUACUGACGCUGAGGUGCGAAAGCGUGGGGAGCAAACAGGG
Molecule: ribosomal RNA, 253 nt
Filed under: uncultured bacterium
Lineage: Bacteria
Description: partial 16S ribosomal RNA
Rfam family: Bacterial small subunit ribosomal RNA
Source: RNAcentral